RNAcentral lists this long non-coding RNA (768 nucleotides) under Homo sapiens (human). RNAcentral's name for it is "HSALNT0399086". Lineage: Eukaryota; Metazoa; Chordata; Mammalia; Primates; Hominidae. The record is from RNAcentral.
GCGGAGGGUGCGGCCAGCGCGGUACCCGCCCCGGCGAGGCGCUGGGGAGGCCCGGGUGGGGAGAAGAAAUGGGGCCUGGGGGACGGUAGGAGCCUCCGUGCGGAGACCACUGUUCAAGGCCACAGACAUUUAUGCAGUGUGUGAUUCUUUCUAAAACAACUCCCUGGAAGAGAGGACAUUUAAUUCAACAAUUUAUUGGCCACCUACUGUGCACCAGGCAGUGAACUUGGAACUGGGGCUACUGGGUUACAGCAGUGACCAAGACAGAGGUCCCUGUUCUUAAGGAGCAAGUGAGGGCAACAGAAAAGAGCAGUCAGCUGUCAUGCGAGGGCACUCAAGCAGCCCUGUGGAAAGCUCUACGUGGUGAGAAACUGAAGCCUCCUGCCAACACCAACAAGGAACUGAGACCUACUUCCAACAGCCAUCUGAGUGAUCGAUCCAUCCUGGAAUCAGAUCCUCCAGCCCCAGUCAAGUCUUCAGAUGACUGCAGCCCUGACCAGCAUCUCAACUGCAACCUCGUGAAUGACCCUGAGCCAGAACCAUGCAACUAAACUCUGCGUGGAUUCAUGACCCACAGAAACUGUGAGAUGGUAGCUGUUUGCUUUGUUAAGCCUCUAAGUCUGGAAAGAAUGUCUUAAGCAGUAGCAGACAAUGAACACAAGAUUAUUAUUCAGCUGUUGAAUUGGAAGAGGAGGGGAAGAAAAAAUUUUCAGAUCACAAAAUAUUCAUUGUGUAAAACUUCAAAAAUUCUGAAAUUUAAGGAAAAAA